GACGUCAGGGCCCUCGGGCCCCGCCCCCCAGCAGGCCGAGGACCAAUCCGCAGAGGGUGCAGGGUCUGAGGGGAGGGGCAGAGCCCGGGCCCCACGGAGGGCGGAGGGGGUACCCGGGAGAAGCAGAGAUUGGAAGGAGGAGCAGGGGGCCUGCCCUCCACCCCCACACUCUGGGCCCGAGACUCCUCGCUCCUCCUCGCCUCGCCUCGCCUCGAGUCUCUGGCUCCGACCUCUCUACUCCCUUGUUUCUGACCUGUGCUCCGUGGUGUCUCUGAUCUCCCCCUGCCGCCAGGGGAAAGGAGGAACAUCCCUCCCAGGACUCACUCACACCUAUUCUCCAACUCUGCCUACCUGCUCAAUUCACCUGAUGCUCUGCCAGUGGAUUGCUGAUGUCUCUACAUUGAUUCAGAUUUGCACCCACAUCUGAAAAUGGUCAGCAGGCAGGGACCCUCUGUCACCACAGGUGGAGGAAGAGGAGAUGAAAGAGCCUUGUCUGACACCCUGGAGACUGCAAGAAGGCCCUUGCCAGAUGUGGGCCCCUCCAUCUUGGACUUCCCAGCUAGCCUCCAGAACUGGAAACUACCCAGACUGUGUCCUCUCCCUCUUACUCUCCUAAAGGAAGACAAGGAAGACAAUGACAAAUGGCGUUUGCAGCAAAGCAACACCAACAGCCAACUUGAUGCUCAAGAGAGAACGCUAUGCCUCUUCCUCAUGGUUUCCAGUGCUCUACACAUUCUGAGAAACUUUUCUGGUUCUACUUCUGGAGGGAACCCAAACCAACACAUUUGAUAUCCAAAGUUGUCCUAGGAAGUAGACCCCCAGGAUAAGAUUCUGGUUUUGGAUCACUCAUCAUCCAGAUGGCCCAAAGAUUCCAUUGCUGAGUAGAGACGGGUUUUCACCAUGUUGACCAGUCUGGUCUCAAACUCAUGACCUCAAGUGAUCCAUCUGCCUUGGCCUCCCAAAGUGCUGAGAUUACAGGAGUGAGCCAUCACGCCUGGCCUGGGAUUUAACAUUUUAAAGCUUGGCAAGGACACCAGAAGCCUGUUGCAAUAUGCCCCCGGGAUAGAUCUUCAAAGUGUGGAAAAACUAUGAGUUCCAGCAAAUGAGGUAGAGAUGUUGGAACUUCCUUGACAGAAUACUUGGAAGAAUAAAGGCUCAGAAAAGUGGGCAUGCCAGAAUAAAAUGACUAUUAUAUAAGACUAUAGAACCCUCCAGCCUACUGUGUUCUUCAUGAGGGCCCAGAAAUACUCAAUAAAUAAAGUGAUACAAAAGGUGCUAGUUGGAACAGGGCCACUGGCAUUUGCAGGUCAGUGGUAGCUGUCCUCAGCAGGCCAGAGCAAUGGUAGCGGGAGCUGCUAUGGGACUAGCCUUUCUAGAGUCAGUGGGUAUAACAGGAGUCCAGAACGAGGUCAGGCGACAGCACGUGGUCAUGAGAGGCUAAGUGGACAUAAUUACCGUAAUAGGCAGAAAGACCAGAAAUGUAAGCAGGGAUCUAUUGUGAUGACCAAGAGACCAUGGUGUUCCCAGAUAGGAGGAUGGUGAAGGAGGGUAUCUCUUGCUUAUAAAAACAAGCAAGAAUGAGACAGCAGAAGGCUGAAGUUAGCCACUGCAAAGGAAAAUCCCCAUCCCAUACCCAGUUUCCAGGCCCAAACCAGUUUUCAGAUAUAGAGCCCUUUGUCUUUUUUUUUUUUU
Molecule: long non-coding RNA, 1692 nt
Filed under: Homo sapiens (human)
Lineage: Eukaryota; Metazoa; Chordata; Mammalia; Primates; Hominidae
Description: HSALNT0390030
Source: RNAcentral